This 700-nucleotide ribosomal RNA is filed under the name Psychrobacter sp. FN1. Its description in RNAcentral is "bacterial SSU rRNA". It matches the Rfam family "Bacterial small subunit ribosomal RNA", at positions 92 to 787 of the family's 1533-position model. Lineage: Bacteria; Pseudomonadati; Pseudomonadota; Gammaproteobacteria; Moraxellales; Moraxellaceae. The record is from RNAcentral.
UUAGCGGCGGACGGGUGAGUAACACGUGGGCAACCUGCCCUACAGAUGGGGAUAACUCCGGGAAACCGGGGCUAAUACCGAAUAAUCAGUUUGUCCGCAUGGACAAACUCUGAAAGACGGUUUCGGCUGUCACUGUAGGAUGGGCCCGCGGCGCAUUAGCUAGUUGGUGGGGUAAUGGCCUACCAAGGCAACGAUGCGUAGCCGACCUGAGAGGGUGAUCGGCCACACUGGGACUGAGACACGGCCCAGACUCCUACGGGAGGCAGCAGUAGGGAAUCUUCCACAAUGGACGAAAGUCUGAUGGAGCAACGCCGCGUGAGCGAAGAAGGUUUUCGGAUCGUAAAGCUCUGUUGUAAGGGAAGAACAAGUACGGGAGUAACUGUCCGUACCAUGACGGUACCUUAUUAGAAAGCCACGGCUAACUACGUGCCAGCAGCCGCGGUAAUACGUAGGUGGCAAGCGUUGUCCGGAAUUAUUGGGCGUAAAGCGCGCGCAGGCGGUCCUUUAAGUCUGAUGUGAAAGCCCACGGCUCAACCGUGGAGGGUCAUUGGAAACUGGAGGACUUGAGUACAGAAGAGAAAGCGGAAUUCCACGUGUAGCGGUGAAAUGCGUAGAGAUGUGGAGGAACACCAGUGGCAGGGGCUUUCUGGUCUGUAACUGACGCUGGCGAAAGCGUGGGGAGCAAACAGAUUAGAUACCC